GUUGACCUCGGACCAGGUAGGAAUACCCGCUG
RNAcentral lists this ribosomal RNA (32 nucleotides) under Bartalinia rosicola. RNAcentral describes it as "partial 28S ribosomal RNA". The record is from RNAcentral. Lineage: Eukaryota; Fungi; Ascomycota; Sordariomycetes; Amphisphaeriales; Sporocadaceae.